RNAcentral lists this ribosomal RNA (1337 nucleotides) under uncultured bacterium. RNAcentral's name for it is "bacterial SSU rRNA". It matches the Rfam family "Bacterial small subunit ribosomal RNA", at positions 28 to 1381 of the family's 1533-position model. The record is from RNAcentral.
GACGAACGCUGGCGGCGUGCUUAACACAUGCAAGUCGAACGGAAAGGCCCUUCGGGGUACUCGAGUGGCGAACGGGUGAGUAACACGUGGGUGAUCUGCCCUGCACUUUGGGAUAAGCCUGGGAAACUGGGUCUAAUACCGAAUAGGACCACGCGCUUCAUGGUGUGUGGUGGAAAGCUUUUGCGGUGUGGGAUGGGCCCGCGGCCUAUCAGCUUGUUGGUGGGGUAAUGGCCUACCAAGGCGACGACGGGUGGCCGGCCUGAGAGGGUGACCGGCCACACUGGGACUGAGAUACGGCCCAGACUCCUACGGGAGGCAGCAGUGGGGAAUAUUGCACAAUGGGCGCAAGCCUGAUGCAGCGACGCCGCGUGAGGGAUGACGGCCUUCGGGUUGUAAACCUCUUUCAAUAGGGACGAAGCGCAAGUGACGGUACCUAUAGAAGAAGCACCGGCCAACUACGUGCCAGCAGCCGCGGUAAUACGUAGGGUGCGAGCGUUGUCCGGAAUUACUGGGCGUAAAGAGCUCGUAGGUGGUUUGUCGCGUUGUUCGUGAAAACUCACAGCUUAACUGUGGGCGUGCGGGCGAUACGGGCAGACUAGAGUACUGCAGGGGAGACUGGAAUUCCUGGUGUAGCGGUGGAAUGCGCAGAUAUCAGGAGGAACACCGGUGGCGAAGGCGGGUCUCUGGGCAGUAACUGACGCUGAGGAGCGAAAGCGUGGGGAGCGAACAGGAUUAGAUACCCUGGUAGUCCACGCCGUAAACGGUGGGUACUAGGUGUGGGUUCCUUCCUUGGGAUCCGUGCCGUAGCUAACGCAUUAAGUACCCCGCCUGGGGAGUACGGCCGCAAGGCUAAAACUCAAAGGAAUUGACGGGGGCCCGCACAAGCGGCGGAGCAUGUGGAUUAAUUCGAUGCAACGCGAAGAACCUUACCUGGGUUUGACAUGCACAGGACGCCGGCAGAGAUGUCGGUUCCCUUGUGGCCUGUGUGCAGGUGGUGCAUGGCUGUCGUCAGCUCGUGUCGUGAAAUGUUGGGUUAAGUCCCGCAACGAGCGCAACCCUUGUCCUAUGUUGCCAGCGGGUUAUGCCGGGGACUCGUAGGAGACUGCCGGGGUCAACUCGGAGGAAGGUGGGGAUGACGUCAAGUCAUCAUGCCCCUUAUGUCCAGGGCUUCACACAUGCUACAAUGGCCGGUACAAAGGGCUGCGAUGCCGUGAGGUGGAGCGAAUCCUUUCAAAGCCGGUCUCAGUUCGGAUCGGGGUCUGCAACUCGACCCCGUGAAGUCGGAGUCGCUAGUAAUCGCAGAUCAGCAACGCUGCGGUGAAUACGUUCCCGGGCCU